RNAcentral lists this ribosomal RNA (119 nucleotides) under Pteropus alecto (black flying fox). Lineage: Eukaryota; Metazoa; Chordata; Mammalia; Chiroptera; Pteropodidae. The record is from RNAcentral. RNAcentral also lists the same sequence under 1 other name.
GUUUAUGGCCAUGCCACCCUGAACAAGCCCGAUCUGGUCUGAGCUCAGAAGCUAAGCAGGGUCGGGUCUGGUUAGUACUUGGAUGGGAGACCACCUAGGAAGACCAAGUGCUGUAGGUG